AAUGAACGCUGGCGGCGUGCCUAAUACAUGCAAGUCGAGCGAACAGAUGAGGAGCUUGCUCCUCUGACGUUAGCGGCGGACGGGUGAGUAACACGUGGAUAACCUACCUAUAAGACUGGGAUAGCUUCGGGAAACCGGAGCUCAUACCGGAUAAUAUAUUGAACCGCAGGGUUCAAUAGUGAAAGACGGUUUUGCUGUCACUUAUAGAUGGAUCCGCGCCGCAUUAGCUAGUUGGUAAGGUAACGGCUUACCAAGGCAACGAUGCGUAGCCGACCUGAGAGGGUGAUCGGCCACACUGGAACUGAGACACGGCCCAGACUCCUACGGGAGGCAGCAGUAGGGAAUCUUCCGCAAUGGGCGAAAGCCUGACGGAGCAACGCCGCGUGAGUGAUGAAGGUCUUCGGAUCGUAAAACUCUGUUAUUAGGGAAGAACAAAUGUGUAAGUAACUAUGCACGUCUUGACGGUACCUAAUCAGAAAGCCACGGCUAACUACGUG
Molecule: ribosomal RNA, 497 nt
Filed under: uncultured bacterium
Lineage: Bacteria
Description: partial 16S ribosomal RNA
Rfam family: Bacterial small subunit ribosomal RNA
Source: RNAcentral